RNAcentral lists this long non-coding RNA (1242 nucleotides) under Numida meleagris (helmeted guineafowl). Its description in RNAcentral is "lncRNA (ENSNMEG00000002546.1)". The record is from RNAcentral. Lineage: Eukaryota; Metazoa; Chordata; Aves; Galliformes; Numididae.
AUGGGGGACGGGGNAAAUCUCCUCUCCUACCCCAAAUCUCCCCCUUUUCACCUCAAAAUCUCCUCUUUACCCCCAAACCCCCCUUUCUACCCAAAACUCCCCUUUUGCCCCCAAAAUCUCCAUUUCUACCCCCAAAUCUCCCCCUUUUUUGCCUCAAAUCUCCACUCUCAACCUCAAGAUCUUCCUUUUACCCCGAAAUCCCCCCUUUUUACCCCAAAAUCCCCCCUUUCUGCCCCAAAUCUCCCCCUACCUCAAAAUCUCCCCUUUUCACCCCAAAUCUCCUCUCUUCCUAUCACAUCCCCCCCUUUUCAUCUCAAGAUCUCCCUUUUCUACCUCACAUUCCCUUUUUGCCUCAAAUCUCCACUUUUUACCUCAAAAUCUUUCUCUUUCACUUCGAGAUUCCCAUUUUUCUCGUCAAAACCUCCCCUUUUUACCUCAAAAUCACCCUUUUCCCCCCAAAUCUCCCAUUUUUACCUCAAGAUCUCAUCUUUUUAUGUUAAAACCUCCCCUUUUUUACUUCAAAUUGUCUUUUUACCUCAAAAUCUUCUUUUCUUCUCUAAAACCUCCCUUUUCACCCCAAGAUCCCUCUUUUUACCUCAAAUCCACUCUUUUUACCCCCAAAUCCCCCCUUUUUACCCCAAGAUCCCUCCCUUUAUCUCAAAACCUCCUGUUUUUACCUCAAAUCCUCCCAUUUUCACUUCAAAUUCUUUUUUCACCUUAAAAUCUCCAUUUUCUACCACAAAGUCUCCCCCUUUUACCUCACGAUCUUCUACUUUUACCUCAAGAUUCUCACUUUUCGCCUCAAAUCUCCAUUUUUUACCUCAAAACUUCCCCUUUUUACCUCACGAUCUUCUGCUUUUACCUCAAGAUUCCCGCUUUUCACCUCAAAUCUCCAGCUUUAACCUCAAAACCUCCCCUUUUUGCCUCACAGUCUUCUACUUUUACCUCAAGGUUCUCACUUUUCACCUCAAAUCUCCACUUUUCACCUCACGAUCUUCUGCUUUUACCUCAAGAUUCUCACUUUUCGCCUCAAAUCUCCAUUUUUUACCUCAAAACUUCCCCUUUUUACCUCACGAUCUUCUACUUUUACCUCACGAUCUUCUAUUUUUACCUCACGAUCUCCACUUUCCCCCUCCACUCUCCACUCCUCACCUCCCGAUCCGCCCUUCUCACCUCCCCACCCCCCUCCCCGGCCUCACCUCCCGAUCCCCCCGGCCCUCACCUCCCGAUCCUUCGCCUUGA